UCUCCCACCUCUACAGCACACUUGUGACUGGGCAACGCACUCUUGCCCCCCAGGACACGAUUUCCAGGUUCUCCUCUCUUUGCCCUGUAAACCCUGCUAUCUCGUCCUCUCUCUGGGAGCCCUUGGAGAAAUGCGUCCCACCAGGAGAUCCCACUGCUUCUACGUCUUUCGGCGUUGGAAAACCAAACAGGGAUUCGCAGCCCAACUUGGGAAGCCUUUGGUGUGG
RNAcentral lists this long non-coding RNA (226 nucleotides) under Homo sapiens (human). RNAcentral's name for it is "non-protein coding lnc-ANTXR2-4:1". Lineage: Eukaryota; Metazoa; Chordata; Mammalia; Primates; Hominidae. The record is from RNAcentral.